This 449-nucleotide ribosomal RNA is filed under the name uncultured bacterium. RNAcentral's name for it is "partial 16S ribosomal RNA". It matches the Rfam family "Bacterial small subunit ribosomal RNA", at positions 354 to 796 of the family's 1533-position model. The record is from RNAcentral.
GUCGAGAAUUUUUCUCAAUGGGGGAAACCCUGAAGGAGCGACGCCGCGUGGGGGAUGAAGGGCUUCGGCUCGUAAACCCCUGUCAUUUGUGAGCAAGUGUUAUUGUUUAAGAGAUGAUGACAUUGAUAGUAGCAAAAGAGGAAGGGACGGCUAACUCUGUGCCAGCAGCCGCGGUAAUACAGAGGUCCCAAGCGUUGUUCGGAAUCACUGGGCGUAAAGGGUGCGUAGGCGGUAUAGUAAGACUUGGGUGAAAUCUCCAUGCUUAACGUGGAGGGAGCCUGGGAGACUGCUGUGCUAGAGGAUUGGAAGGGAGACUGGAAUUCUUGGAGUAGCAGUGAAAUGCGUAGAUAUCAAGAGGAACACCAGUGGCGAAGGCGAGUCUCUGGACAAGACCUGACGCUGAGGCACGAAGGCCAGGGGAUCAACGGGAUUAGAAACCCGUGUAGUCC